GACGAACGCUGGCGGCGUGCCUAAUACAUGCAAGUCGAACGCACUCUCGUUUAGAUUGAAGGAGUUUGCUCCUGAUUGAUAAACAUUUGAGUGAGUGGCGGACGGGUGAGUAGCACGUGGGUAACCUGCCCUAAAGUGGGGGAUAACAUUUGGAAACAGAUGCUAAUACCGCAUAAAACCUAACACCGCAUGGUGUAGGGUUGAAAGAUGGUUUCGGCUAUCACUUUAGGAUGGACCCGCGGUGCAUUAGUUAGUUGGUGAGGUAAAGGCUCACCAAGACCGUGAUGCAUAGCCGACCUGAGAGGGUAAUCGGCCACACUGGGACUGAGACACGGCCCAGACUCCUACGGGAGGCAGCAGUAGGGAAUCUUCCACAAUGGACGAAAGUCUGAUGGAGCAACGCCGCGUGAGUGAAGAAGGUUUUCGGAUCGUAAAACUCUGUUGUUGGAGAAGAAUGUAUCUGAUAGUAACUGAUCAGGUAGUGACGGUAUCCAACCAGAAAGCCACGGCUAACUACGUG
This 520-nucleotide ribosomal RNA is filed under the name uncultured bacterium. RNAcentral's name for it is "partial 16S ribosomal RNA". It matches the Rfam family "Bacterial small subunit ribosomal RNA", at positions 28 to 507 of the family's 1533-position model. The record is from RNAcentral.